This 531-nucleotide long non-coding RNA is filed under the name Homo sapiens (human). RNAcentral's name for it is "HSALNT0359323". The record is from RNAcentral. Lineage: Eukaryota; Metazoa; Chordata; Mammalia; Primates; Hominidae.
UCGGAGUGGAAUUCCAGAAUGUUCCAUCAGGUUCCAUUCUUCAGUGAUGCAUGGUUGCAAAGCUGCAGCUCAGGGAAGAGCCCCUCCAAGGUCACUGAGUUGAGAAUCGAGAACCUGAGUCUGCUCCACUGGGGCUAACGAGCCAUGUAAGCGGGACCAUCUCCCUUUGCUGCACGGGGGCCACCUGCUGCCUCCUCUGUGAAACGGGAGAGCAUACCACCUGCCCUGGAGAGCUGUCCUCGAGAUGAGAUAAAAGCAUGGAUAUAAAAGGGUCUGGAAAUUUGGAGGUCUUUGCUUGUAUGAAUAUGUGUCCUUAUUAUCGCCAUGUGACGGGCUGGCAAGAUUGUCGCAGAAAUGAGCUUGAGGAAACUCCCAGGCAGACAAAGUCGGCUCAGUGGAACUCACAGAUGGGCCCUGCCCCGUCAAUGCCCCCGCUGUGAUAGGCUUCUACUUGGGUUCCUAUCUUUUGGUGGAUAGAUGUGCUAUGGACAGUGGAGAAGAUCACAGUGCUGGGCAUGCCAGAGCACUUGC